RNAcentral lists this long non-coding RNA (6209 nucleotides) under Lactuca sativa (garden lettuce). RNAcentral describes it as "long non-coding RNA (LSAT_LNC009602)". The record is from RNAcentral. Lineage: Eukaryota; Viridiplantae; Streptophyta; Magnoliopsida; Asterales; Asteraceae.
AAGCAGGUCCCGCCUCAACCCAAGCCCAAUCCAACAACCAUGUGCACAUAAACAUUUAAUCAUAUAUCAUAUCACAUCCAAUCAAACCGAUCUAACAGAUCACAUAGCAUAACAUUAUCCUAACCAGGAUACUGACCUAACCAGUCACUAGCAUAGCAUCAUCCUAUAUACCAGGAUACUGACCUUAACCAGGUCUCUAACAUAUACCAUCCUAACUACCAGGAUGCAACAUAGCAAAGCAAUAACAUAACAACGAUACCCGGAUCACAAUCCGAUAAAGGGCCGGCCUUGGUGCCGUAGACCCUGUCGAUAUAGUGAGGAUAACUCACCUCGCAACUGCCGACUGAACAGAUAAACCCAAGCUGCUCCGACCACUGAUACGAUCUCCAACACUGGCCAACACCAAAACUCUGAACUCAAAACAAAAGCCAACAAUUACCAAAAUGCCCCUGGAAAUCAACUGGUCAACCCUUGGUCAAAGUCAAAGUCAAAGUCAACCCCUGACUGACUCUACUCGCCGAGUCAACCCGAUGACUCGCCGAGUCCCCAUGCACAGAACUUCCCCAAUCCACGACUCAACUCGCCGAGUCACCCCGAGACUCGCCGAGUCCAACAACUCUGAGUCCUUUCACACUCGACUCACCGAGUCAUCCCUUGACUCACCGAUUCACAGCUCAACCAGAAGAAAGGUUAGGACCUCACGACCAGACUCGCCGAGUCCAAGAACAGACUCGCUGAGUCCAAGGCUAUCUGCAACCAACUCGCCGAGUUUUUCUUCCAACUCGCCGAGUUCCUGACGAUAUUCAACCAACUCGCCGAGUUGUUCUUCCAACUCAUCGAGUUCCGGCCUAUCUUCAAGCAACUCGUUGAGUACACCCUUGUGACUCGCCGAGUACCCCUAGAUCAGAAACCAUACAGAGGCUUUCCAAGCCAUGCAGAAGCUCUAAACCAUAGAUCUACUCUUUUACAAGCCAUCCAUCACGUAAAGUGGCAAACUUUACGUGGAUCCAAAGAGAUCGAGGCAUUUUCCACUCUAGGGCUAGGGUUUGGGACAAAAGAGCUUCACCAAACACUCAAGAAUCGGGACUUUAUGACAUAUAGGACCAUCACAAGCUUAGAUCUGAAGUAGCAUCCUCAGAUCCAAGCUUCUAUCUCAAUUUAUAUGUCAUAUCAACCACCACACAUGGACCCAUGAAGAAAAUAGCUUAAGGAAAUGGUUCCUUACCCAUGGAAUGAGCCCAACCAACUGUAGAUUCAUGAUCACCCCAAGCUUCCUGAUACAAGCCUCCAAUCUUCAAGCUUAAAGCACCAAAGAUCCUGCUCCUAGCUCUAAUUCACUCAACAAUGGGGUCUCCUCACGAAUUUAGGGCUUCUGGAACUCAAGGAAUGGUAAAGAGGCUGGGGAGAAGAUAGGAUGUUCUUUAUAUAGGGCUCAACCCUCGAAAUUAGGGUUUUCUCCACUCAGCACCAACUCGCCGAGUCCAUCCAUGCUACUCGCCGAGUUGGUCACUUAACACGCGACUAGAGUCGCGACCCUACUCGCCGAGUCCACUCGUGGACUCGCCGAGUUGCCCUUUCCCAUUUACACUUUUAGCCCUUCAACUCUACUCUUGAUAUUCCGAGAUGUUACAAUUCUCCCCCACUUAAAUUAGGCUUCGUCCUCGAAUCCUGCAGCAACACGACUCUAGAACUACUCUCACAAUGCACCACCUGGCAUUAACCAGACCAGGUUCCUCAAAACACAACCACCGAAAUCCAAAACCCAAUUUUUCCUUCUCGCGGUGUUCUCAUCGCCGCUUCAAGCUGGCCACUGGCCUCGCCCUCUGACAACCACACUUACCAACUUAUCAACUGAGUAUCAUUCCAUGAUACUUCACCCGCUCCAAAUCACACAAUCACUUGACUCAACGAGCUAGAAAUAACCAUGAACCACCGGAAUUCCCAGUCUGAGCCCAACUUUAUCCAUUCCAUGCUAACAGGAUGACACAUCCUUCAGCCUCAGAGCAACUCCCAUGAGUUUCUCCACUACAAUCGCAUACCCAUGCUGAACUGGCUCUAGCAUCUUCGGGUUGGGAAAACCCGAUACACUGACAACACCUCCAAACAUCCCCCAGGAUGAAUUUCCACCAUAUACAUAAAUCCUUGAUCGAAAUCAAACUGGAAAUCCACGAUACCAUUCCUGCAUUCCUUCCAAGCCUCAGCAAACAUUCAACCCGGAUGUGAUUCCAUACCACAACCGUAGACACACUGCUCAUCAACCAUGAUUGGAACACCCCGAUCAUAACUCUGCACUACUGCUUUCCCUUCCGUGAACUUACACUCCUUCUCGGAGCUCCAUUCCUUUCCCUUUCCUUACCAAGGAAAUCCACUUGGCCGCCUUGUCACUAUGACAAGUGCCACGGUGUUCACCCAAUACUACACCAUUCUCUUAUAGCAUAACCGCUAUCCCAUGCACCACACAUGCUCUCAAUCCACUCGCAAGGACUCUCAAGUCCAUGCUCUACCUUUCACUCACCAUGAUCAAUACCCGGGGCCAGACCUUCUGACGCUAACACGCCGCGACAUACUCAAUCCAUUUCCUCUUACCGAUCUCUCAACACAAAUAGAGUCUUCAGCAUGACUGGACCGCCUUUCCAGGCCUGCAGCCCAUCUGGACCACUCUCGGAACCUUCAGCAGGUCUGGACCGCCCUCCAGGGCCUUCAGCAUGUCUGGACCGUUCUCUAAGCCUUCAGCCUGACUGGUACGCCCACCGGCCUUAAGUCUAUCCGGACCGCUGAACCAGCAUCCAACAUCCCGAAUUAUCCCUCCAGGAAAACUCUCCCAUGCAUAUUGUUCUAGCCCUCUAGGGGUUCCGAACUCUAUCUCCACCCUACAUACUCAAUCCCGGCCCGAUCCCAGGCCUUCAACAAUCAAUCACCCUUGGUCUGUAUCUCGCCCCGCAUACCUGUCACUUACUCAUACCAGCCUAUACUCUUGGCUAACAAAACCACUGCUGAAUCCCAAGCAGCUAAGCAACCUCUCAUAACCAUCGACCUUCCGGAGAAUUUUCCAAUUCUCCCCCACUUAGAGCACUGACUAUCAACCAUCGGUCGCCAUCACCGACCUCCCUCAACAACCCUACACAACACAAACACUUACACGCAAACUGAUUCCCACUAGAACGAGCAACCUUCAAAAAAUCACAUAUCAACACAAAUCAUCUCAGCUCGAAAGAAACCCGACCUUCAGCAACCACUCCACAGACUGCAGAUGAUAACCGACAUUCGGACUAAAAGCCAAAUUCCCACUAAUAACCCUCAUGAACGAUAACAAAUGAAAUUCCCAACACCAAACCCUUAACCCUACCAUAACCCUCAAGGAACAACGAAUACAAUAAGAAACCACACAACGAGACUAGCAGAUAUACAAUACCCCACAAUAAUCAUAAUAUAACAAGACAUCAAGAAAGAAACCUACCCGCAGCUGCAUCCGGUACUGCUCUGACCUCCUUUGCUGUGAGCUGAAAAGCACGACCCUGAGCCCUUGGGGGCUCUGCUCCACCCUGACCUCCGCCCGUGAUCCUCAAUGUGGCCGCUGCUGGAGCCUGUACCGGUCCUGCAGCAAGCUGUGGACAGUUGACCCUCAAGUGUCCAACCUGAUGACAAUGAUAACAAAUCCUCAAAUCCCGACCCGGGGCUGCCUGCCGACAAUCCCUCGCAUAGUGCCCCUCCUUUCCGCACUUGCGGCAUGCACCACCGGACCUACAAACCCCGGUGUGACCCUUCCCACACUUCCCACAAGUGUGGCUGCUCUGAUCUCCCAAUCUAGAAUCAACGGUCUUGGACCGUUUCGGCGCCGGCUGCNNNNNNNNNNNNNNNNNNNAACUCAAUCUCCAACUCACGCCGCCUGGCGGCCUCCUGCAACUCUAACAAGGUCUCGCACCUCUGCGUAGACACAAACUGCCUGAUAUCCCUCUUGAGCAUACUCAGAUAUCGGGUCAUCUGAGCCUGCUCCGAAGCAAACUCGGGGAAAAACAUCGCCCUCUCAAUGAACAUCCUGGUGAUCUCCGUCACCGACUCUGAAUCCUGCUUCAGCUCUAGGAACUCCUGAGCCAACCUCUCUCUCUCAACCCACGGCACAUAACGAGUACCGAACAUCUCCCGAAACUGAUCCCAUGAAACCGCAGCUCUGUGCGCAUCCGAAUACGACCCUAUGGUCAAUCUCCACCAAUCCUUCGCCCCGAGCCUUAACAGGUUCAGAGCACACCUCACUCUCUGAUCAGCAGGGCACGAACACAUGAAGAAACACCCCUCCACAUCCGACAACCAUCUCAUAGCAACAAUCGGGUACUGGACUCCAUCGAAGGUAGGAGGCUUUGUAUUAUCGAAGUCCCGAUAUUGAAAACCCUGACUAGCUCCUCCCCCUGCCGUUGCUACAGCCGCUAUAGCCGCCACGGCAGCCGUCUCUGUGAGAGCCGCAUAGCGCUCAUCAAAAUACUCAACCAUGGCGGUCUUGAUCGACCCAAACAGUUCCGGCAACUCCGCCCGGAACAACGCAGCAACCUCAUCAUGCAGGAUCUCACGAAUCCUCGCAUCCAACUCGCACGUGCUCACCUGACCAAUAACCUCGGGCUGUACUGACCCGCCCUGAACUCUCUCUCCUGCUCCCGAUCGUGACCCGGAUCCACUCCCAGCAUGCCUCAGAACCUCCAUACUGAAAACACCACAAGAUCUCUGAUACUCCCCACAAACCCGGGAACCAACUCCCAGCCCAACCCUGGAGGUCAUGGUUUCUUUGAUACGCGUAUGGGUCCUGUGCUUUCAGUAGUACGGGCCCAUACUACAUUCCACACCUACCCAUAUUUCUAUCAAUUAUACCACAACACCCUAGUGAAGAACAUACAUAACAAGCACUCAACCCUCACUCCUAGAGGAACACUGGAAAUCUCCCACAAAGGAAACCCUAGGCUAACAGGCAUCAUAAAUCAGGCAACAUUAUCAUGAAAUCCUGAAGAUCCCUAGCCUAGUACUAGCAUGCUGUUCUAUCAAAGCUCAAAACAAAUAUCAUGUAUGGUAUUUUGGGGUUACUUACUGGCUCCAGCUGAUCGUACCGCCGCGUCCUCCUUUACUCAUUUUGAAAACCAUUUUAAAUUCUCUUUUGAAAACCCUCCUCGAUUUGAGACUGGAUUCACACGAAUGUUCCUCCAAUUCACUCAAACCAAGGCUCUGAUACCAACUUGUAACGACCAUAAAAUUCCAACCAAUUUAAACUUUUCAAAAACAACCCGAUUUCAUAAAAUUAUUACAAAAAGGUUUUCAAUACAAUUAUUUCAGAGUAUUCCCAGAAUCACAUCACAAAACAUAAUCAUGAGGAGCGGUANUACGAUCACGCUUGCCUUGCCAUGGUCUCCUGAAGAACCUGAAAAACGUUAAACCACAACUAUAAGCCCGAAAGCUUAGUGAGAUAUCCCCCAAAUACCAACCACAUAUACCAUACACGCAUAACAUGCCAUAUCAUAACAGAACACAGAACAGCCAUGCACUUCGGGUCUACUGUGUGACUGGUCCGCCGUACCGGCCUUCAGUCCACCUGGUCCACCCUCCGAGUCUAACCACAUACAUCGAGUCUACAGUGUGAUUGGUCCGCCCGCACCGGGCCUUCAAUCCACCUGGUCCACUCUCUGAGUCUACAGUAUGACUGGUCCGCCCGCACUGGGCCUUCAGUCGGCCUGGUCCACUCUCCGAGCCUCGGCACGUCUGGUCCGCCCUCUUGGGGCCUACAGCCUAUCCGGACCGCUCGCUGGGCCUUCGGGAUAACCGGUCCGCCCUGGGUAUGUUGGCCUACAGCACAAAGCAGGUCCCGCCUCAACCCAACCCCAGUCCAACAACCAUGUGCACAUAAACAUUCAAUCAUAUAACAUAUCACAUCCAAUCAAACCGAUCUAACAGAUCACAUAGCAUAACAUCAUCCUAACCAGGAUACCGACCUAACCGGUCACUAGCAUAGCAUCAUCCUAUAUACCAGGAUACCGACCUUAACCAGGUCUCUAACAUAUACCAUCCUAACUACCAGGAUGCAACACAACAAACAAAACAUAACAACGAUACCCGGAUCACAAUCCGAUAAAAGGGCCGGCCUUGGUGCCGUAGACCCUGUCGAUAUAGUGAGGAUAACUCACCUCGCAACUGCCGACUGAACAGAUAAACCCAAGCUGCUCCGACCACUGAUA